AGAGUUUGAUCAUGGCUCAGAAUCAACGCUGGCGGCGUGCCUCAGACAUGCAAGUCGAACGCGAAAGUCCCCUUCGGGGGACAAGUAGAGUGGCGCACGGGUGAGUAACACGUAGGUAAUCUACCUCUGGGUGGGGAAUAACAGCCGGAAACGGCUGCUAAUACCGCAUAACGCAGCGGCACCACAUGGUGACAGUUGUUAAAGCGGGGGAUUGUAAGACCUCGCGCCUGGAGAGGAGCCUGCGGCGGAUUAGCUAGUUGGCGGGGUAACGGCCCACCAAGGCAACGAUCCGUAGCCGGCCUGAGAGGGCGGUCGGCCACACUGGCACUGACACACGGGCCAGACUCCUACGGGAGGCAGCAGUCGGGAAUUUUGGGCAAUGGGCGAAAGCCUGACCCAGCAACGCCGCGUGAAGGAUGAAGCUUCUCGGAGUGUAAACUUCAUAAGAAUGGGACGAAUAAGGAGGGGUUAAUACCCCCUUUGAUGACGGUACCAUUUGUAAGCUCCGGCUAACUCCGUGCCAGCCGCGGCGGUAAUAC
RNAcentral lists this ribosomal RNA (539 nucleotides) under uncultured bacterium. Its description in RNAcentral is "bacterial SSU rRNA". It matches the Rfam family "Bacterial small subunit ribosomal RNA", at positions 8 to 526 of the family's 1533-position model. The record is from RNAcentral.